RNAcentral lists this ribosomal RNA (429 nucleotides) under Pseudomonadota bacterium. Its description in RNAcentral is "Proteobacteria bacterium partial 16S ribosomal RNA". It matches the Rfam family "Bacterial small subunit ribosomal RNA", at positions 355 to 776 of the family's 1533-position model. The record is from RNAcentral. Lineage: Bacteria; Pseudomonadati; Pseudomonadota.
UGGGGAAUAUUGGACAAUGGGCGAAAGCCUGAUCCAGCCAUGCCGCGUGUGUGAAGAAGGUCUUCGGAUUGUAAAGCACUUUAAGUUGGGAGGAAGGGCAGUAAGCGAAUACCUUGCUGUUUUGACGUUACCGACAGAAUAAGCACCGGCUAACUCUGUGCCAGCAGCCGCGGUAAUACAGAGGGUGCAAGCGUUAAUCGGAAUUACUGGGCGUAAAGCGCGCGUAGGUGGUUCGUUAAGUUGAAUGUGAAAGCCCCGGGCUCAACCUGGGAACUGCAUCCAAAACUGGCGAGCUAGAGUAGGGCAGAGGGUGGUAGAAUUUCCUGUCUAGCGGUGAAAUGCGUAGAUAUAGGAAGGAACACCAGUGGCGAAGGCGACCACCUGGGCUCAUACUGACACUGAGGUACGAAAGCGUGGGGAGCAAACAGG